ACGAACGUUGGCGGCGUGGAUUAGGCAUGCAAGUCGAACGAAUCCCAUCUGGGUAACUGGGUGGGGGAAGUGGCGAAAGGGGCAGUAAGGCGUGGGUAACCUACCCCGGGGACCGGGAUAGCCAUCCUAACGGGUGGGUAAUACCGGGCGAGGUAACGAGAGGGCAUCCCCUGGUUACGAAAUGAACUUCGCCUCGGGAGGGGCUCACGUGGUAUUAGCUUGUUGGCGGGGUGACGGCCCACCAAGGCGUAGAUGCCUAGCAGGUGUGAGAGCACGACCUGCGCCACUGGCACUGAGACACUGGCCAGACUCUGACGGGAGGCUGCAGUCGAGGAUCUUCGGCAAUGGGCGCAAGGCUGACCGAGCGACGCCGCGUGCGCGAUGAAGGCCUUCGGGUUGUAAAGCGCUGUCGAGGGGGAGGAAGCCCGCAAGGGUUGACCUAACCCUGGAGGAAGCACGGGCUAAGUUCGU
RNAcentral lists this ribosomal RNA (471 nucleotides) under uncultured bacterium. Its description in RNAcentral is "bacterial SSU rRNA". It matches the Rfam family "Bacterial small subunit ribosomal RNA", at positions 29 to 506 of the family's 1533-position model. The record is from RNAcentral.